AAGAGCCAAUCCGCCAGAAAACCAUGCAAUAUUCAGAAAAUCGUCCAAAUCGACAAUCACAACUUGACAAAUUUUUAUACAUCAUCUUAAUCCUUGACAUAAAAUAAAAGAAUUUGACCACUUAAUUUUUCCCAGAAUCGUAUCUAUUUUUAGUAACAGCCUCAUUUGCAUAAUUCUGUAAAUUCAUAAUGAAACCAAGGAAAAAUCCUACUUUUUUAUGCCUUUUAAGAAUGACCCAGAAGCAUAUUAAAUGGGGUAGUUGAGUUUUUAGAGUAAUGUCAGCUGAAACUCAUCCAUUUUACUAUGUUAUGAUCAAUACAAAUGAAAAUUUAAACGAUUUGGCACAUUGCCAGGAGCAGGGACACAAAGGCGGGGUUUUUCAUACAUGAAUUUAUGUGGUUUUCAUUCGCUUCUAUCUUGCAAGACCCAUUCCGGAUUUGUUUGCAACUUAUAUCGGUUUUAACUAUGGGGUAUGUUUUAUAUCAAAACAAAAUAUUAAGCUUGGCAAAUGACUAUUAUAUGUUAAUUUAUGCCUUGGAAGAAUGGUGAUUUUAGUCCCAAAUUGACACAUUUUGAUUUUGAUUUUAAUUAAAUUCUAAACACAACUGGUACUAAAAUGGCUCAUAAAAUCAUUCGAACAAGUAAAAUCAAUUUGUCUGAAAAAUGAAAUAAGACGUAUUUGUACUGCAAGUCCAAAAAUCAAUAAAUUGUCUGAAACCAGGGAGUCCAUCUUUUAUGCUCUUCCAUUGACUUAUCUCCCUUGGGUAAGAUCUCAAACAUGUCAGCUCCCAAUGAUGGUUUGGCAGACAAAUGUUUACAGUGAAGUUUGUGACUUUAAUAAUCUAGGAUGAGCAUGUGGGCUAUCCCAGCCUUAUACAUCUACAUAUUACAAACUAUUUAAGAUAUCUGAAUGCACUAAAGACCAAAAUAGCAUUUCCAAAAAAAAUAAUUACUGCCAAGAAAUUUGACAAUCAUGACAAUAAUUUAGUGAAUAAACAUGAUAAAUAUUGAUUGGAAAAAUAAGUCCAUGAACAGCAAAAAGUGUUUUUAGAUUUCAACGAGCAAAACAAAAGUAUUCUAAAUCAUUCUUCGUAAAAAAAAAAGUGAGCCAGUGGAACCACCUUGCUCGCACCAAAAUUGAGAUUGAGAGUGUCAAAACUGCUCUGGUGCACCAUCAAUAAAUCAACGACACUCUCUCUACCGUGGUAUUGAAACCAGCAUUGGUAACCAAACAUAUUCAUACAGAUACAGACUACCAUUAAUCUACAUUUAGGAAGUCUGAAUAAUACUGAAAACUAUGGUGUAGAAUUUCCAACAGGACUCCUUAUUUUAUAUAAGACAAGGAGUGGUUUAUUUUCCCAUGGUUGUUACAUCAUCUUGUCUUUGAAUAUGCUCGAAGUACAGGGACUUUUAUGGAAUUCAUUGACAUGAUAGUCAAGCAAGAUGUCAACAUCUCGUCCAACCCUCUUCCAGCAAAGCCAAAGCUGACCAAGGAUCUUCACCCUUUCAAAACAGGCUGUAUACAGGACGAGUUAUUCCAGUAGGAACAGGGCUAUAUAUAUGCAAGCAAUGCUCAAUUAAGAUGAAUUUUUGUAAAAGUGACAAUAGCCAGGUCAAACUAAAUACAUGUAUAGAAGAAGAUAUUGAUCUAGACUCGCAGCUAACCUUUCUGUCAGUGUCAACAACAACUGAACUUUCACAGCAGUCAACAUCAGAUUGGGAGACUGAUAAUGCUUCUAACAGAAACAAUUUCAACCAACCAAACAAGCAACAGAAACUUUCCAACUUUAAAACAUCAGUUAAAUCUUCCAUGGGAUGAUGUCUCAAAAAAUAACAGUUCAUUAUUUAUGGAGAUUUUAAUGUUAUGGUUUUUCUUUUACAAGAAAGUUAAUGUACACUUGUUUUAUAGUAAAACCUAUAGCCGUUCAAGUAUAAAAAAACACAUUCAACUUUAUUGAAAUUUGAAGAUUCAUAUGACUUAUUUUAAUUCUGUUAUCUCCGAGGAUGUGAUGUAGAGCAUUAUAGGUACAGUAAAUCUUAACAGCUAUCCAAUUUCAUUCAAAAUUCUUUAUAAAUUUUGCACUGGUAUAUAUAGACUAAGUAAUUUGUUUUUCGUCUAGUUAUGGGAUUUUUUUAUACCCCACGCAACGAGUUGCGGAGGGUAUAAUAUUUUUGACCCGUCCAUCAGUCCGUCAGUCCUGUUUCUUGUCAUCGCAACUCCUCUCAAACCACACAACAGAAUUUCAUGAAACCUUUUCAGAUAAUAAGGACAUACUAGGUAGAUGUGCAUAUCGACAGGAAAUUACGAUUUAAUUUUUUUUCCAGGAGUUACGCCCCUUUGAACUUAUUUGCCCAAUAUACUACUGCAACCUUUUGUCAUCCCAACUCCUCUCAAACCACACAACAGAAUUUCAUGAAACCUUUUCAGAUAAUAAGGACAUACUACGUAGAUGUGCAUAUCGACAGGAAAUUACGAUUCAAUAUUUUUUCCAGGAGUUACGCCCCUUUGAACUUAUUUGCCCAAUAUACUACUGCAACCUUUUGUCAUCGCAACUCCUCUCAAACCACACAACAGAAUUUCAUGAAACCUUUCCAGAUAAUAAGGACAUACUACGUAGAUGUGCAUAUCGACAGGAAAUUACGAUUCAAUUUUUUUCCAGGAAUUACGCCCCUUUGAACUUAUUUGCCCAAUAUACUACUGCAACCUUUUGUCAUCGCAACUCCUCUCAAACCACACAACAGAAUUUCAUGAAACUGUGUAGAUAAUAAGGACAUACUACGUCGAUGUGCAUAUUGACAGGAAAUUAUGAUUCAAUUUUUUUUUCUGAUACAAUUUUUUUUUCUUACACUUAUUUUAUUUCUCCAAUGACGAUGUGGUGUAUGUGAGCGCUCACUAAGGUUCUUUCAUUUUAGAAGCAUUUAUGAUUUUCAUGUUUGUAUUGACCACAUUGCAGCAACAUAGAUAUAGGUACCUGGCAAAUCUUGCCUUGUUAGCAUACUAGGCUCAAAGGGUCAUAAAAAAAUUUCCAUCACUAAGUGUCUGUUAAAAUCAUCUGUUUACAGUUUUCACUUUUAAACCAUCAUCUUAAUAACUUUAGAAGAAGUGUCAUACAUGUAUAUAUGUAUACAAAAUUCAAAAACUUUUCAAUAUAUAUAUAUAUAUAUAUA
Molecule: long non-coding RNA, 3168 nt
Organism: Mytilus californianus (California mussel)
Lineage: Eukaryota; Metazoa; Mollusca; Bivalvia; Mytilida; Mytilidae
Exons: 3
Source: RefSeq, a predicted model, not a curated record